CUAUUAGCUCAGUUGGUUAGAG
Molecule: non-coding RNA, 22 nt
Filed under: Arabidopsis thaliana (thale cress)
Lineage: Eukaryota; Viridiplantae; Streptophyta; Magnoliopsida; Brassicales; Brassicaceae
Source: RNAcentral